This 243-nucleotide ribosomal RNA is filed under the name uncultured bacterium. Its description in RNAcentral is "partial 16S ribosomal RNA". It matches the Rfam family "Bacterial small subunit ribosomal RNA", at positions 113 to 354 of the family's 1533-position model. The record is from RNAcentral.
CGGCGUGGAGUAACCUGCCUUGGAGUGGGGAAUAACAGUUGGAAACAGCUGCUAAUACCGCAUAAUAUGUCUGUGUCGCAUGGCACUGGGCAUCAAAGAUUUAUCGCUCUGAGAUGGACUCGCGUCUGAUUAGCUAGUUGGCGGGGUAACGGCCCACCAAGGCGACGAUCAGUAGCCGGACUGAGAGGUUGGCCGGCCACAUUGGGACUGAGACACGGUCCAAACUCCUACGGAAGGCAGCAG